UGGGGCAGGAACGUUUUCAUUUCUAUGUUCCAUCCACACAGUCCCUAGGAUUGUUUCCUAUAUACUUGGGAAUUUGGUCAAUAUUAACCAAGAAGAAGGAAGAAACACACUUAGAAGCAUGAAGUCCCAUUGAGAAAUAUUGAACGAAUAUCCUUCCUACUAUACUGUAUUGGAUAUACCUUCAAAACUCUGCUCAAGAAUCACUUCAUGCAUGAAGCUGUCCCUUGAUGAGGAUACUUGGCCACUUGUGUCCAAUUUUAUUUGGGCGCUGUGCGCAGAGUUUUUCGUAUGCUGUUUCGUUUGCUCUUCCCAACUGACCUAUUCCGUUAUGAAUACCUUGAAGGUGGCUUACUCAAAAACCCAUAGGUUUGAUGCCAUCAAGAUACUGGUUUACAGACUGGUCUUCAGGCUAUGUGACUUUGGAAUAUUACUUACUUUUCUAAUUUUCACUUUUUGCACUUGGAACGUGAACAUUAUAAUGUCCAUGUUGAAGACUUCUGUGAGGCUUAAAGACGACUUUCAAAGGAAGCAGACACUUCCUUCUCCCAUAGAAAUGGCAGCUCUCAUUGUUCUGCCCCCUCUCCUGCUGUUCCUGCUGUAGUUCUAGGCACAGAGCCUUGCACUUGGAACACAAUCCUGUUUGUUGAAUGAAUCACAAAGAAGUGUCUUGACAAAAUACGUACACUGUUUUUGGCUUUCUAUACAACAGGCAAUAAAUUUUACAGCC
RNAcentral lists this long non-coding RNA (727 nucleotides) under Equus caballus (horse). Its description in RNAcentral is "lncRNA (ENSECAG00000050756.1)". The record is from RNAcentral. Lineage: Eukaryota; Metazoa; Chordata; Mammalia; Perissodactyla; Equidae.